RNAcentral lists this ribosomal RNA (253 nucleotides) under uncultured bacterium. RNAcentral describes it as "partial 16S ribosomal RNA". It matches the Rfam family "Bacterial small subunit ribosomal RNA", at positions 524 to 776 of the family's 1533-position model. The record is from RNAcentral.
UACAGAGGGGGCGAGCGUUGUUCGGAAUUACUGGGCGUAAAGGGCGCGUAGGCGGCCUUCUAAGUCGGACGUGAAAUCCCUCGGCUCAACCGAGGAACUGCGUCCGAUACUGGUUGGCUUGAAUUCGGGAGAGGGAUGCGGAAUUCCAGGUGUAGCGGUGAAAUGCGUAGAUAUCUGGAGGAACACCGGUGGCGAAGGCGGCUCUCUGGGACGGUACUGACGCUGAGACGCGAAAGCGUGGGGAGCGAACAGG